CUAUCAACAACGGAUCUCUUGGCAUCCCACUCGAUGAAGAACGCAGCGAAUUGCGAUAAGUAAUGUGAAUUGCAGAAUUACAGUGAAUCAUCGAAUCUUUUGAACGCCCCCUUGCACCUUCCAGUCCUCUGGAGGGUAUGCCCGGUUGAGUAUUAUG
Molecule: ribosomal RNA, 157 nt
Filed under: uncultured Tulasnellaceae
Lineage: Eukaryota; Fungi; Basidiomycota; Agaricomycetes; Cantharellales; Tulasnellaceae
Description: 5.8S ribosomal RNA
Rfam family: 5.8S ribosomal RNA
About the family: 5.8S ribosomal RNA (5.8S rRNA) is a component of the large subunit of the eukaryotic ribosome. It is transcribed by RNA polymerase I as part of the 45S precursor that also contains 18S and 28S rRNA.
Source: RNAcentral